UGGGGUGUAGCUCAGUUGUAGAGUCUUUGUCUAGCAUGCACAAGGCCCUAGGUUCAAUCCCCAGUACUGCAA
Molecule: transfer RNA, 72 nt
Filed under: Ictidomys tridecemlineatus (thirteen-lined ground squirrel)
Lineage: Eukaryota; Metazoa; Chordata; Mammalia; Rodentia; Sciuridae
Description: Spermophilus tridecemlineatus (thirteen-lined ground squirrel) tRNA
Rfam family: tRNA
About the family: Transfer RNA (tRNA) molecules are approximately 80 nucleotides in length. Their secondary structure includes four short double-helical elements and three loops (D, anti-codon, and T loops). Further hydrogen bonds mediate the characteristic L-shaped molecular structure. tRNAs have two regions of fundamental functional importance: the anti-codon, which is responsible for specific mRNA codon recognition, and the 3' end, to which the tRNAs corresponding amino acid is attached (by aminoacyl-tRNA synthetases). tRNAs cope with the degeneracy of the genetic code in two manners: having more than one tRNA (with a specific anti-codon) for a particular amino acid; and 'wobble' base-pairing, i.e. permitting non-standard base-pairing at the 3rd anti-codon position.
Source: Rfam by way of RNAcentral